AGGCUGCUGUUAGGAUAUUGUUAGGCUGCUGUUAGGAUAUUGUUAGGCUGCUGUUAGGAUAUUGUUAGGAUGCUGUUAGGUUUUGUUAGGUUGCUGUUAGGAUGCUGUUAGGCUGCUAUUAGGAUGCUGUUAGAUGCUGUUAGGCUGCUGUUAGGAUGCUGUUAGGAUGCUGUUAGGUUGCUGAUAGGAUGCUGUUAGGUUGCUGUUAGGGUGCUAUUAGAAUGCUGUUAGGAUGCUGUUAGGUUGCUGUUAGGGUGCUUUUAGAAUGCUGUUAGGCUGCUGUUAGGCUGCUGUUAUGAUGCUGUUAGGAUGCUGUUAGGCUGCUGUUAGGUUGCUGUUAGGUUGCUAUUAGAAUGCUGUUAGGCUGCUGUUAUGAUGCUGUUAGGAUGCUGUUAGGAUGCUGUUAGGUUGCCGUUAGGUUGCUGUUAGGUUGCUGUUAGGAUGCUGUUAACAUGCUGUUAGGAUGCUGUUAGGCUUAUUUUAGGAUGAUUUAGGCUGCUGUUGGGAUGCUGUUAGGAUGCUGUUAUGCCUGCUGUUAGGAUGCUGUUAGGUUGCUGUUAGGAUGCUAUUAGAAUGCUGUUAGGCUGCAGUUAGGAUAGUGUUAGGAUGCUGUUAGGAUGCUGUUCGGAUGCUGUUAGGAUGCUGUUAGGUUGCUGUUAGGAUGCUGUUAGGUUGCUAUUAGAAUGCUGUUAGGCUGAUGUUAGGAUAUUGUUAGGAUGCUGUUAGGCUGCUCAUGGGCUGCUGUUACGUUGCCGUUAGGUUGCCGUUAGUUUGCUGUUAGGUUGAUGUUAGGAUGCUGUUAGGCUGCUGUUAGGCUGCUGUUAGCUUGCUGUUAGGCUGCUCAUGGGCUGCUGUUAGGCU
RNAcentral lists this long non-coding RNA (861 nucleotides) under Salmo salar (Atlantic salmon). RNAcentral describes it as "lncRNA (ENSSSAG00000095942.1)". The record is from RNAcentral. Lineage: Eukaryota; Metazoa; Chordata; Actinopteri; Salmoniformes; Salmonidae.